Long non-coding RNA from Lutra lutra (Eurasian river otter), 329 nucleotides. RefSeq lists it as uncharacterized. NCBI's taxonomy places the organism in Eukaryota, Metazoa, Chordata, Mammalia, Carnivora, Mustelidae. The transcript is spliced from 3 exons. The record is from RefSeq and is a predicted model, not a curated record.
AGCACCACCAUUUGACUAGGAGUGGAAAAUCUCCUGCACCAAAUAGAGGAGGGGGUGGCCUUCCUUUCUCUACAGGAGGACCGAUUCGAACUUUCUCAGCCCUUCAGUCAGGACAGGACGUGGAACGAGGGGAAAAAAAAUCUCUUUUGAGGAAAAUUUUUUAAUUAAAUUGUAUUCACUGUUAUUAGAUUAGACUGAAUAAUGAAAAAAAAGAAGUUGCUUCUAACAGCCUGGGCUCCACAAGCAAAGUAAAGCAGAAAAUUGAUGAAGCAAAAUCCUGCUGUGACCCAGGUGAUUCAGAUUAAAAUAAAAAUCAGAUUUUUCAUUUA